This 253-nucleotide ribosomal RNA is filed under the name uncultured bacterium. RNAcentral's name for it is "partial 16S ribosomal RNA". It matches the Rfam family "Bacterial small subunit ribosomal RNA", at positions 524 to 776 of the family's 1533-position model. The record is from RNAcentral.
UACGUAGGGUGCGAGCGUUAAUCGGAAUUACUGGGCGUAAAGCGCGUGUAGGCGGCUUUGCAAGUCGGGUGUGAAAGCCCUCAGCUCAACUGAGGAAGUGCGCCCGAAACUGCAGAGCUUGAGUGCCGGAGAGGGUGGCGGAAUUCCCCAAGUAGAGGUGAAAUUCGUAGAUAUGGGGAGGAACACCGGUGGCGAAGGCGGCCACCUGGACGGUAACUGACGCUGAGACGCGAAAGCGUGGGGAGCAAACAGG